This 669-nucleotide long non-coding RNA is filed under the name Mytilus galloprovincialis (Mediterranean mussel). Lineage: Eukaryota; Metazoa; Mollusca; Bivalvia; Mytilida; Mytilidae. The record is from RNAcentral.
UCAUAGGUAGAUAAUAAUAUGAUAAUCAGACAUUUUUUGGUCGAAAAAAAGGGGGGGUGGCAAUUUCAUUCAUCUGGUUUAUUAGUAGAAUUUGGGCAUCUUUUCAUAGUCUUACAAUUGGUUAUAUCUUUUGUGUAUUAAUAGUUUUAUUGUUAAGCAUAACAUACAUAUUUGAAGUGUUUUUUGUAAGGUGAAAUCAGCAUAAUCAAUACUACUGCAGUAGUAGAUUUUAAUGUCAUAUUAAUAGAUGGUGUUAAGAUAAUAAUGGAUUAAUUGAUUGGGGGUUGCUUAAUCUUCAAUAGCAUAUAUUACAAUUUAAAUACAUGACUUAUAAAAAUAUAAAAAUGAUGGAAAUUAUUAUUCACUGCAUAUAUUUUUACUUAUAUACAAAUAAUAUAUGGAUAUCAAAGUAAACAAAAAUGUUGGUAUUAAAAUAGUCUUUCAUAUUUCAGAAAAACAAACAAAUCUGCUGCUUAUUAAAAUUUGAACACAUCAACUGGUACGGAGACAUAUGUCUGAAUGUACGGUUGUAAUACUGGAUACCUUAAAUGUGGCAGUGAGUUUGACUAUAUUUUAUGUGUCUUAAUGAUUUUCUUUUCAAAUUAAUUCAACAAUAUAUAUUAUUAAAACUCCCUCCCAUGAAAAAAUUCUACUUAUUUUAAAUUUAUG